Molecule: non-coding RNA, 1017 nt
Organism: Heterocephalus glaber (naked mole-rat)
Lineage: Eukaryota; Metazoa; Chordata; Mammalia; Rodentia; Bathyergidae
Source: RefSeq, a predicted model, not a curated record
UGCUCUCCUCAGGAUUUAAACUACUUCACCUCUGUGCAGAUUUGAUCAUUCAACAAAUAUUUAUUGAACAUCUGCUAUGUGUGUCGAACCUGUAGAUAUGGUGGUUAACAAGAUAAAAAAAAACCCUCUUACUUUCAUUGUGUUUGCAUUUUAGCGAGGAAGACAUUAAACAAAACAGGGAUGGAACUCGGGACCUUGUGCUUACAAGGCAGGUGGCGGAACCACUGAGCUAAAUCCCAGGCCUUAUGGAAAGAUUUUCUUAAGAAAUGACCUUUACUUUGAAAACUGAAGAACUUGGGGAAUCAACACAAGAAAAUAAGAAGACAUUUUCAGGCAGAGGAACAGCAUUGUGACACUGAGGUAGCAAUAAGCCUGUCCUUCUUGAAGAACAGAAGGUUAGAGUGGUGAAGAGAACUAUGCAGGGUGGACAGAAUUUCUCGGAGCAGCAUUUUUAAAGGGUCCCAGGAAUGUCCCAAACAGUUUCUCAAUAGUAUCUGAAGUUGGACCAGUUGGAUUUAAUCUCAAUUCCAUCACUUAUUAAUUUUGAGGAGGCCCAGAGUUUAUUUGUGAACUUAAGGGCUAAAUGUGUUUGUGGUAGACCAAGGCCAGUCCUGCCUGCAAAAUAAGUGGAAAACUCCUACACCCUGCUGCCCAGGUGUAGAUAAGGAGAGAUUGUCCCAGGCCGGGCACCACAAGCAUUUCAAGGUCUGUAAUCUGGACAUUAGCCUGAAUGAAGCAGCUCGGUGAUUAUGCAGUAAACAAAAUUAUCACCAUGCGGGAAAACAUGGAGAAUCUGUCCUCCACACUUAGGAGAAAAAUGUAUUGUUUUGAGAACUUUACAGUUGCACAUAUUUCAUCCACUUGUUUCCUUAAAGCAAUUGUUAAGCCUGCAUGCUUUUUAGGCUGGUCGCUGCUUUAAAUGCUGCUCCUCCAUUAACUGUGUGAUCCAAGGCAAGAGACCACAUCUGUCUUGUAUGCUGAUAAAUCUUCAGAUGAAGACCAGUGCCUUGCAUAGUA